AGCAGCCGCGGUAAUUCCAGCUCCAAUAGCGUAUAUUAAAGUUGUUGCAGUUAAAAAGCUCGUAGUUGAAUUUCGGGGUCAGUAGGUCGGUCGUGCCACUGGUAUGAACUGGUUUUACUGAUUCCUCCCUCUUGAAGAACUGUAAUGCCAUUAAUUUGGUGUUGCAGGGAAUCAGGACUGUUACUUUGAAAAAUUGAGUGUUUAAAGCAGGCUUUAGCUUGAAUACAUUAGCAUGGAAUAAUGAAAUAGGACGUUUGAUCCUAUUUUGUUGGUUUCUAGGAUUGACGUAAUGAUUAAUAGGGAUAGUCGGGGGCAUUAGUAUUCAAUUGUCAGAGGUGAAAUUCUGGAUUUAUUGAAGACUAACUACUGCGAAAGCUAUUGCCAAGGAUGUUUUCAUUAAUCAAGAACGAAAGUUA
Molecule: ribosomal RNA, 416 nt
Filed under: uncultured Glomus
Lineage: Eukaryota; Fungi; Glomeromycota; Glomeromycetes; Glomerales; Glomeraceae
Description: SSU rRNA
Rfam family: Eukaryotic small subunit ribosomal RNA
Source: RNAcentral